Molecule: transfer RNA, 85 nt
Filed under: Lutimaribacter pacificus
Lineage: Bacteria; Pseudomonadati; Pseudomonadota; Alphaproteobacteria; Rhodobacterales; Roseobacteraceae
Also listed under: 3 other names
Description: tRNA_Ser_TGA
Rfam family: tRNA
About the family: Transfer RNA (tRNA) molecules are approximately 80 nucleotides in length. Their secondary structure includes four short double-helical elements and three loops (D, anti-codon, and T loops).
Source: RNAcentral
GGAAGGGUGGCAGAGUGGUCGAUUGCACCGGUCUUGAAAACCGGCGAUGUGCAAGCAUCCGUGGGUUCGAAUCCCACCCCUUCCG